This 271-nucleotide ribosomal RNA is filed under the name uncultured prokaryote. Its description in RNAcentral is "partial 16S ribosomal RNA". It matches the Rfam family "Bacterial small subunit ribosomal RNA", at positions 524 to 794 of the family's 1533-position model. The record is from RNAcentral.
CACGUAGGAGGCAAACGUUAUCCGGAUUUACUGGGCGUAAAGCGCGUGUAGGUGGUUCUGUAAGUAGGGCGUGAAAGCUCCUGGCUCAACUGGGAGAGGCCGUUCUAAACUGCAGAACUAGAGGAUGGUAGAGGGAGGUGGAAUUCCAGGUGUAGCGGUGGAAUGCGCAGAUAUCUGGAGGAACACCAGUGGCGAAGGCGGCCUCCUGGACCAUUCCUGACACUCAGACGCGAAAGCUAGGGUAGCAAACGGGAUUAGAUACCCGGGUAGU